CAGCCGCCGCGGUAAUACGUAGGGUGCAAGCGUUAAUCGGAAUUACUGGGCGUAAAGCGUGCGCAGGCGGUUAUAUAAGACAGAUGUGAAAUCCCCGGGCUCAACCUGGGAACUGCAUUUGUGACUGUAUAGCUAGAGUACGGCAGAGGGGGAUGGAAUUCCGCGUGUAGCAGUGAAAUGCGUAGAUAUGCGGAGGAACACCGAUGGCGAAGGCAAUCCCCUGGGCCUGUACUGACGCUCAUGCACGAAAGCGUGGGGAGCAAACAGGAUUAGAUACCCGCGUAGUCCCUGUCUCUUAUAC
This 301-nucleotide ribosomal RNA is filed under the name uncultured bacterium. RNAcentral describes it as "partial 16S ribosomal RNA". It matches the Rfam family "Bacterial small subunit ribosomal RNA", at positions 509 to 807 of the family's 1533-position model. The record is from RNAcentral.